GUGGGGAAUUUUGGACAAUGGGCGAAAGCCUGAUCCAGCCAUGCCGCGUGCAGGAUGAAGGCCUUCGGGUUGUAAACUGCUUUUGUACGGAACGAAAAGACUCCUUCUAAUAAAGGGGGUCCAUGACGGUACCGUAAGAAUAAGCACCGGCUAACUACGUGCCAGCAGCCGCGGUAAUACGUAGGGUGCAAGCGUUAAUCGGAAUUACUGGGCGUAAAGCGUGCGCAGGCGGUUAUAUAAGACAGAUGUGAAAUCCCCAGGCUCAACCUGGGAACUGCAUUUGUGACUGUAUAGCUAGAGUACGGUAGAGGGGGAUGGAAUUCCGCGUGUAGCAGUGAAAUGCGUAGAUAUGCGGAGGAACACCGAUGGCGAAGGCAAUCCCCUGGACCUGUACUGACGCUCAUGCACGAAAGCGUGGGGAGCAAACAGGAUUAGAAACCCGUGUAGUCC
RNAcentral lists this ribosomal RNA (450 nucleotides) under uncultured bacterium. RNAcentral's name for it is "bacterial SSU rRNA". It matches the Rfam family "Bacterial small subunit ribosomal RNA", at positions 354 to 796 of the family's 1533-position model. The record is from RNAcentral.